GGCCAGAAGGCGUAGCCGAUGGACAUCCAGUAGACAUUCUGGACCCAGGCAUAUCAGCCAUGGGAGGACGCUUCCAGACGUCUCAACCCGCACUGUUGGUAGAUGCGGGCUAGUCUUAGGCUGGUUUACUUGAAAGAGUAGAGGAAAGGCUGAAGACGGGGAAGGGAACUCUUCGGAGUGAACGAACUGAGACAGAUGGGGGCCGAGAAAAGCCCCGCAGCGUUAAUGAUAUGUACUGACCGUACUGUAAACCGACACAGG
RNAcentral lists this ribosomal RNA (261 nucleotides) under Pycnococcus provasolii. RNAcentral describes it as "partial Bacterial large subunit ribosomal RNA". It matches the Rfam family "Bacterial large subunit ribosomal RNA", at positions 1400 to 1663 of the family's 2925-position model. Lineage: Eukaryota; Viridiplantae; Chlorophyta; Pseudoscourfieldiophyceae; Pseudoscourfieldiales; Pycnococcaceae. The record is from RNAcentral.